This 484-nucleotide ribosomal RNA is filed under the name uncultured bacterium. Its description in RNAcentral is "partial 16S ribosomal RNA". It matches the Rfam family "Bacterial small subunit ribosomal RNA", at positions 29 to 523 of the family's 1533-position model. The record is from RNAcentral.
AGUGAACGCUGGCGGCGUGCUUAACACAUGCAAGUCGAACGAGAACGGAUUAUAGCUUGCUAUAAUUGUCAGCUAAGUGGCGCACGGGCGAGUAAUGUAUAGGUAAUAUGCCUCUUACUAAGGGAUAACAAAUGGAAACGUUUGCUAAUACCUUAUACUCCUUAUUAACAGAAGUUAAUAAGGGAAAGAUUUAUUGGUAAGAGAUUAGCCUGUAUUGUAUCAGUUAGUUGGUGGGGUAAUGGCCUACCAAGACUAUGACACAUAACUGGUUUGAGAGGAUGAUCAGUCACACUGGAACUGAGACACGGUCCAGACUCCUACGGGAGGCAGCAGUGGGGAAUAUUGCACAAUGGACGAAAGUCUGAUGCAGCAACGCCGCGUGGAGGAUGACACAUUUCGGUGCGUAAACUCCUUUUAUAUGAGAAGAUAAUGACGGUAUUAUAUGAAUAAGCACCGGCUAACUCCGUGCCAGCAGCCGCAGUAA